GCUGGUGUAGCUCAGUGGUAGAGCAGCUGCCUUGUAAGCAGCAGGUCGUGGGUUCGAUCCCCACCGCCAGCUCCA
RNAcentral lists this transfer RNA (75 nucleotides) under Acidimicrobiia bacterium. Its description in RNAcentral is "tRNA-Thr". It matches the Rfam family "tRNA". From Rfam's summary of the family: Transfer RNA (tRNA) molecules are approximately 80 nucleotides in length. Their secondary structure includes four short double-helical elements and three loops (D, anti-codon, and T loops). Lineage: Bacteria; Bacillati; Actinomycetota; Acidimicrobiia. The record is from RNAcentral.